RNAcentral lists this unclassified non-coding RNA (388 nucleotides) under Suillus collinitus. Its description in RNAcentral is "ITS1, 5.8S rRNA, ITS2". The stretch from base 206 to 360 matches the Rfam family "5.8S ribosomal RNA". Lineage: Eukaryota; Fungi; Basidiomycota; Agaricomycetes; Boletales; Suillaceae. The record is from RNAcentral.
AUGCAUAUCCGGCGAGGGAAAGGCGGAGAGUUGUAGCUGGCCCUAGCAACGUGCACGCUCUCUUCUGGACUUUCGUCGUAUGGGCGUGGGGGGGCGACCCCUCGCGUCUUCAUAUACCUCUUCGUGUAGAAAGUCUUUGAAUGUCAUCAUCAUCAUGGAGUCGCGACUUCCAGGAGACGCGAUUCUUUGAGACAAAAGUUAUUACAACUUUCAGCAACGGAUCUCUUGGCUCUCGCAUCGAUGAAGAACGCAGCGAAUCGCGAUAUGUAAUGUGAAUUGCAGAUCUACAGUGAAUCAUCGAAUCUUUGAACGCACCUUGCGCUCCUCGGUGUUCCGAGGAGCAUGCCUGUUUGAGCGUCAGUAAAUUCUCAACCCCUCUCGAUUUUUU